GACAGAGGGGACUAGCGUUGUUCGGAAUCACUGGGCGUAAAGGGCGCGUAGGCGGCUAUGUAAGUCAGGGGUGAAAGCCUGGGGCUCAACCCCAGAAUUGCCUUUGAUACUGCAUAGCUUGAGUUUUAGAGAGGAUAGUGGAAUUCCUAGUGUAGAGGUGAAAUUCGUAGAUAUUAGGAGGAACACCAGUUGCGAAGGCGACUAUCUGGCUAAAUACUGACGCUGAGGCGCGAAAGCGUGGGGAUCAAACAGG
Molecule: ribosomal RNA, 253 nt
Filed under: uncultured bacterium
Lineage: Bacteria
Description: partial 16S ribosomal RNA
Rfam family: Bacterial small subunit ribosomal RNA
Source: RNAcentral